This 534-nucleotide ribosomal RNA is filed under the name uncultured Gammaproteobacteria bacterium. RNAcentral describes it as "bacterial SSU rRNA". It matches the Rfam family "Bacterial small subunit ribosomal RNA", at positions 885 to 1418 of the family's 1533-position model. The record is from RNAcentral. Lineage: Bacteria; Pseudomonadati; Pseudomonadota; Gammaproteobacteria.
GUCGCAAGACUAAAACUCAAAUGAAUUGACGUGGGCCCGCACAAGCGGUGGAGCAUGUGGUUUAAUUCGAUGCAACGCGAAGAACCUUACCUGGCCUUGACAUAGUAAGAACUUUCCAGAGAUGGAUUGGUGCCUUCGGGAACUUACAUACAGGUACUGCAUGCCUGUCGUCAGCUCGUGUCGUGAGAUGUUGGGUUAAGUCCCGCAACGAGCGCAACCCUUUUCCUUAUUUGCCAGCGAGUAAUGUCGGGAACUUUAAGGAUACUGCCAGUGACAAACUGGAGGAAGGCGGGGACGACGUCAAGUCAUCAUGGCCCUUACGGCCAGGGCUACACACGUGCUACAAUGGUCGGUACAAAGGGUUGCUACCUAGCGAUAGGAUGCUAAUCUCAAAAAGCCGAUCGUAGUCCGGAUUGGAGUCUGCAACUCGACUCCAUGAAGUCGGAAUCGCUAGUAAUCGCGGAUCAGAAUGCCGCGGUGAAUACGUUCCCGGGCCUUGUACACACCGCCCGUCACACCAUGGGAGUUUGUUGC